RNAcentral lists this unclassified non-coding RNA (323 nucleotides) under soil metagenome. RNAcentral describes it as "partial contains 5.8S ribosomal RNA, internal transcribed spacer 2, and large subunit ribosomal RNA". The stretch from base 1 to 120 matches the Rfam family "5.8S ribosomal RNA", at positions 35 to 154 of the family's 154-position model. The record is from RNAcentral.
GAUGAAGAACGUAGUGAAAUGCGAUAAGUAAUGCGAAUUGCAGAAUUCAGUGAGUCAUCGAAUCUUUGAACGCACAUUGCGCCCUGUGGUAUUCCGCAGGGCAUGCCUGUUCGAGCGUCAUUUCAACCCUCAAGCUCUGCUUGGUGUUGGGCCCUGCCCGCUCGCGGCCGGCCCUAAAGACAGUGGCGGCGCCGUCUGGCUCUGAGCGUAGUACACCUCUCGCUCCAGCGCCUGGCGGUGGCCUGCCAGAACCCCAACUCUGUGGUUGACCCCGGAUCAGGUAGGGAUACCCGCUGAACUUAAGCAUAUCAAUAAGCGGAGGA